CCUUAGUGUCGUCUAGUCUUCUAAAGAUAUCACCAACCUUCCCUCGGUUCCACCAUCAAAAUCUGCAUCUCAUCAGCUCCAACCUUUGGGUGAUGCAGCACAUCGCAUUGCCCCACACCAUUAGCCUCAACAUCUCUCGCAUAAUGUCCUAGGAUCGAAGAUAGGAGAGUUAGAAUUUCUCAAAUCAUAAAGGGCUCCAAUACAAGAGAUCCAUAUCAGUGG
Molecule: long non-coding RNA, 222 nt
Filed under: Elaeis guineensis (African oil palm)
Lineage: Eukaryota; Viridiplantae; Streptophyta; Magnoliopsida; Arecales; Arecaceae
Description: long non-coding RNA (EGUI_LNC029846)
Source: RNAcentral